GAUGAACGCUGGCGGCGUGCUUAACACAUGCAAGUCGAACGAUGAAGCCCAGCUUGCUGGGUGGAUUAGUUGCGAACGGGUGAGUAACACGUGAGUAACCUGCCCUUAACUCUGGGAUAAGCCUGGGAAACUGGGUCUAAUACCGGAUAGGAGCGUCCACCGCAUGGUGGGUGUUGGAAAGAUUUAUCGGUUUUGGAUGGACUCGCGGCCUAUCAGCUUGUUGGUGAGGUAAUGGCUCACCAAGGCGACGACGGGUAGCCGGCCUGAGAGGGUGACCGGCCACACUGGGACUGAGACACGGCCCAGACUCCUACGGGAGGCAGCAGUGGGGAAUAUUGCACAAUGGGCGCAAGCCUGAUGCAGAGACGCCGCGUGAGGGAUGACGGCCUUCGGGUUGUAAACCUCUUUCAGUAGGGAAGAAGCGAAAGUGACGGUACCUGCAGAAGAAGCACCGGCUAACUACGUG
This 466-nucleotide ribosomal RNA is filed under the name uncultured bacterium. RNAcentral describes it as "partial 16S ribosomal RNA". It matches the Rfam family "Bacterial small subunit ribosomal RNA", at positions 28 to 507 of the family's 1533-position model. The record is from RNAcentral.